Molecule: small nucleolar RNA, 102 nt
Filed under: Callithrix jacchus (white-tufted-ear marmoset)
Lineage: Eukaryota; Metazoa; Chordata; Mammalia; Primates; Cebidae
Description: Small nucleolar RNA U13 (ENSCJAG00000062661.2)
Rfam family: Small nucleolar RNA U13
Source: Rfam by way of RNAcentral
GACCUUUUGUAGUUCAUGAGGGUGAUGAUUGGGAGUUCCUGUGCAUGUGUGAGAUGUGCUGCCUUCGAAUCUUGUUACCAUGGGCACAUUACCAGUCUGACA